RNAcentral lists this small RNA (513 nucleotides) under Histoplasma capsulatum var. duboisii H88. Its description in RNAcentral is "Histoplasma capsulatum H88 hypothetical RNA". The record is from RNAcentral. Lineage: Eukaryota; Fungi; Ascomycota; Eurotiomycetes; Onygenales; Ajellomycetaceae.
CUAGAUGAGUGAGGGAUGAUAUAUGGCAAUUGUCCCAUGGCAUUUGGCUUAAGGCCAUUAUUUACCUCAAGCUGAAUGAUAGACCCUCCAUGGAAGAGCAGAGCUAGUUCUCAUAGUUCGCGUUGGUGUGGAUUCCAGGUGCAUAUACUUACUGCCCUGAUCGCCGUGGAGCGAUAGCGCUAUUCGAACAGUCUAUAUGGCAAUUUUAAGGCGGAUGAGCUGAUUGAAAUUGACAAACCAAGAACACAUUGCCGCCCUAUAGCUUUGUCAACACCGCACAAUCGAUUUUAUCACCUCGGCAGAUUAGUCCACUUCAAGACUUAUACAUAAGUGAGAUAGACGCGGUGGGUCAUUACAAUCGCCUUGACAAUCAUUCAAAUGAAAGUAAAAGCAAUCCCAGAUGCUUUUCUCCUUAAGCUCAAACGGCAGUGUUGUGAGGUGGAGUGCCUCGAAAACGCUAGCUGCAAGAUUGCAACGUUCACUUGUCAGCAAAUUAAACUAAUUUCAUCCAGG